GGGGUCGUGGCGGAAUUGGUAGACGCACCAGCUUGAGGUGCUGGCGGGAGCAAUCUCGUGUGAGUUCGAGUCUCACCGUCCCCA
This 84-nucleotide transfer RNA is filed under the name Vulcanimicrobiaceae bacterium. RNAcentral's name for it is "tRNA-Leu". It matches the Rfam family "tRNA". Rfam says of the family: Transfer RNA (tRNA) molecules are approximately 80 nucleotides in length. The record is from RNAcentral. Lineage: Bacteria; Bacillati; Vulcanimicrobiota; Vulcanimicrobiia; Vulcanimicrobiales; Vulcanimicrobiaceae.